GGUAUUUUUGCCCAUGUCGCAUGUAUGCUUUUGGAGUAUCGGUAGGUGCAGAUCGGUAGGUGCAGACCUACAGUAUUUUGUGUGGAGCCGUAGAAAAUGAGUAAUAAAUUACUAAAUUAACGAGAAAUUGAAAUAAUUGUCAUGAUGGGAAACAAACUUUUGAAAUUUCGAGGACUAUAUAUAUGGUGAUUCUGUUUCCAUAUGUUAAUAAAUAAACAACAAAAGCUGAAAAGCACUACAGGUGAGGCAUUUUUCAAAAUUUUAAUGAAACACUUGUACUGUACCAUACACUCAUUUAUUGAAAUAUACUAUAAUUUAUUACUAUUAUAUAAUAUUUCAACUCGAUUACUACUUGUAUAUAAUGCACAUAUCAAUGGCCAGCCCUGGGGGUACACCCCCGGGACUUUGCAAAAACAUGAUUCUAAUGCAUUAAUUCCCCCUUCCUCCCCCGGGAAAUGUGUAAGUCAAACUGCCCUCCCCUGGGCUUACAAUAAAGUAGUUCAUAAUAUAAAUAGCAUACAAACAAUUAAAAAUUAUUAUACAAACUGGGGUAUCACAAUGGCACUCAUGUAUUCCGUAUUUAUUUAUUUAUUCAAAUUUUAGCAAGACCACUACAAAAUAUAAAUAAUAAGUUGGCGAUCGAUAUUUUUCUGUGUGAGCCUGCGAUUUUGAGUUCACACCAAUUAUGUACUUCCUUUAUAAAAUUCAAAUUGUCACGUCAAAGUCCCCUACUUCCCCUCCCCCCAUCGUCCUAUUAUUGCGAAGUUUGUAAGGGAUGGUCAUUAUUUAUGGGGAGGGGGGGGGGUUGGGAAAUGGGAGGGGGGAAACAAAGUUUUACCCUUAUAAAUAGGGGAGAUCAAAAAAGUUAAAUACCAUGUCUAGAGUUUUGAUUUCUAUAAUCACAAAUAGCAAAAAAGAAGACUCUGAAAAUGCUAUUUCCAACAAUCUAGAGACUCAAAAUUUUCAAAAUUUCCCUGCUCGGGGGUGGGCAUCUACAAAAAGGGACCAUACUAUAUUGAGUGUGGAGAGAUGACAGAUGGUUGUUGACAAAAAGUUUGGUGUGGUAUCGUAUGUACUAGUAGGGGGGUCCGGGGAUUCUCCCCCAGAAAAUUUUUUGUAUUUUUCCACCCCUAGAACUGAAAUGUGAGCAUUUUCUGAAACAGAUUUUUGGAUAUACAGCGUUACAUUGUGCAUUGAUAGACUGAAUCUGAUCAGUUAAGUGUAUUUGCAUGGUAUGUUUAUGUAAAUAUCACAACUGGGUCACUCAGGGGGUAGCAAGCUUGUUAGACUUAGUGGGCCCGACUCCCAUGAUUGUGAGGCACUACCAUGGUUGGUGCCCAGACAAGUUCUUAAAAAAACCCUGUGUUCAAAUCAUUUUGCUGUAUGAAGAUGGGUCAUGGGUUAGGGUUAUGGUAGGACAAAUGUUGCAUUGCAAAGUAGUAACACAUAAUAUAUAUUUUUAAUCACAUAUGGUUGAAUCAUAUUCACCAGGGUAAAACAUCAUGAGCUAGAUUAAACAGAUUGUCCUAAUAUCUAACUUUACAUGCAAUGCACACCUGUUUCAUUGCUGUUAAUUUUUCAAUCCACACUGGGGGGUGGGGGUCAGAAAAGUUUCUACUUUUAUGAGGGAGGAGGCACAAAAAGUUUGCCUUCAGUCUGGAGGGGGGGUCAAAAAGUUUUCAAUCCUUAUUUUCCCCAUUUCCCAACACCCCCCCCCCAUAAAUAAUGACCACUCCCUAAUUUCCCCGGGGUUCACAGGCAGAACACACAGAUAAAAUACCAAAUUCCCCCUCGUUUCCCCCCAGUUGUCCCGGGGGUGUACCCCCCCGGGCAGGCGGUUGAUAUGUGCAUAAUUUUCUUUCAAAUUGUAUAAAAAGUAUGUUGUUCCUUUUGCAUUUCUACUACACAUAUAAUUUUAAUGUAUAAAUUUAUGAACACAGCCAUGCUUUGUUGAAACGAAACUUAUGUCUGUUUAUGUAUGUAUCAUCUAAAUAUUUACUGCUGUUUGUAUUUUUCAGAUUAUGGAAACUGCACAUUGUUGAUCAUGUCUACUCACAAUGUAUGCUGUGCACAUUAUGGGGAAAGUAAAUCUGCACUAAUUAAUACCCAAAUGUAUAUGGCUCUACGUUUGUCACUGGAAUCAUUGUUAUAUUCGAUGGCGAUUCAUGGCAAUAGAAUCAUAUUGUUUGACCAGGCAAAGGAUUAGUUAAUUAAGGAUCUAGCACGCCAGACAAUAAUUAUAUAUUAUUUUAUUAAACAUAUUCUUAUGUGAAUUAUUAAUUUUCAUUACAAAUUAG
This 2297-nucleotide long non-coding RNA is filed under the name Paramuricea clavata. The record is from RNAcentral. Lineage: Eukaryota; Metazoa; Cnidaria; Anthozoa; Malacalcyonacea; Plexauridae.